Long non-coding RNA from Paramisgurnus dabryanus, 3617 nucleotides. RefSeq lists it as uncharacterized. The record is from RefSeq and is a predicted model, not a curated record. NCBI's taxonomy places the organism in Eukaryota, Metazoa, Chordata, Actinopteri, Cypriniformes, Cobitidae.
UUCUGAUUUGUUUAUGUUUAUUAGGCUAAAGGGAUGAUUUUUGCAUAUCGUUCAAUUUGUAUGGUGAAUAUGGCAAUUUUGAGAAAUGGGCCCAGGCACGAGACAAAAUAGAAAACUUGGAGAAGACGUUGAAUGACAAAAAGCGGCACAACCAAUUAACACCGGCAGAGCUACGUUUGAUAAGAUCGAUGAGAGAGAGAUGCAGGCGCGAGUUACCUGUGUGCGUCUCUUCUUUAAAGUCUACGACAAAAAUGAGGUCAAUACGAAAAAGACAACUAAAUGGGACGUUAACACUUUCAGUGACUUUUUGCCCCAAAGACAGAACAAUUGUGAUUUCGAGAUCUACUCUGCUUCUCUUUUAAAUGAGAUAUUGCAGGAGUUUUAUGACUCUGUUCAGUCUACAGGAACAAUUCUGAGAUUAACAACUUGGUGAGAGUGUAGGACAGUGAAAAUCUGAAAAUGAAACAAAUAAAAUAUUACAAUUGUGUACAUUGCAAUACAGUUCUUGGCAAAUGUUGCACAUGUGCAGCAAAUAAUAAAAUAAAUGUCUACGAUUUAAAACACAAGAUUAAUAUCUAAAUUACAUCACUAAGGGUGGCUUGCACCAACAAGGAUUAAUGUAAAGAGAGCUUAUCUAGAGGUUGUUGAUCCCAUAGUUCUUUUAAUUGGAGUUGUGUUGCACUACAAUUUUAAACUCUGAUUAACAAAUCUUAGAUUAAUCAUUGUAAGAUGACAAGGAUUGGGCUGGUUUAGGUAGUUAUAGUCAUGGUCAAAAUUAUAUGCACCGUAGUCUGCAAGUGAACACGCACUGAACAACCAAGCGCAAGAACAAAUUGUUAAAUAAAAUCAUUUGUUUUGUUUUCUUUGCGUGCAAAAGUGUUCCCGUUGCUUUAUAAUAUUAUUAUUGAACUACUGAUGGAACAUGGACCUUUUAGGUGAUGUCUUUCAUUCUUUUCUCGGAAAAGAAAUGAGAAACAAACUGAAGUCUAUUGGACAGACUAUUGGAUAUUGUUUCAUCAACAAUAUCUAAAAAUGUGUUCUAAAGACAAUCCGAGGGCUUGGCGGUUUAGAAUGACACAUUUUGGGGUGAAUUACCCCUUUAAGAAAGUAUAGACACAUUUGAUGGUGUUAAUCAUUUCCCUGAUUGCGGAAAUGGGAAUUGUCAAUGCUUUAGCAGUUUUCAUCCAAACACUUUCUAAUUUGUGAGGCACAACACACAUCUUUUACUACACAUCAACUAUAAGGGUGGGAGUCGUUUGUAGCAUUGCUCUCGUUGCUGACUGCAUCAAGCCUUAGCCCUACAUCACAGCAAAAGCAGCAGUGUUAAAGUCGCCAUGAAAAUAAAAUGAAAAACUGUAAUAUGUUUUGUAAUACUGUGGUAGUUGUUACAAAUUACUUAUCUGUGAGCUUCAUUAUUUAAAAAAAAUUAAUGGGCCCUCAUAAUCAAAUAAAAAAUGCAAAUCUCUUCCCCCCCUCAAAACGAUCUCUCUUUACUUCCGGUCAUAUGGUAUGUCCGGUGGGUGGGGUCCCGGGAGAAGAUCGCUGCAAUUAACUUUAAACAAUCCUAUCAGAUCUCGAUGGACAAAUUUAAAUCCAGACUUGCCUGGGUUUUUAUUUCAAAAGCCAAUUUCGUUCAGAUAUACAUCACCACGAGGAAAAUUUGGCAAUUAAUACUUCCGUUUCAUGGCAACUUAAAAUGUACAUCACUGAUGUAUUUGAGGCUCACCCACAGAUGUGCAAAGUAUAAUUGAAGCAGUGUUAAAUCUAUCUAAUCAGUCUGUUAACAACAGGAGCUAAUCAUCAUUUGUAAAGUAAACUUAGAGUUUAGUAGGGAUGCACCCAAUUUUCGGCAACCGAAAAAGUGAAAAGGCUGAAUAAAUUGUACAGAAUAAUGAGUCAAUCUGUUAAUAAUUAGUUUAGUUAACAAUUAGUUUUUUUGUUAGACAGCUUUGUUGAGGGCGCUUUUUCCCCUGCCAUCUGUCAAUCUUGCCGCCGUCUCUCGCGCUCUCUGCUUGUCGUACCUCUUACUAGACCAUGCACACAGGCAUGUGUCUGCUGCUCAACAUACAGUACAGUGCUAUAUGAGCAUCAUUGCAAGUUUCUUUAGGCAGAGUAAUUAAUAUAGGUUAUUUGGAUUUUGUGCAGGAAUAGAAGAUCGGAUUUACAUUUGUUUAGGCAAGUCGAAUGUAAAUGGAACCGUUUUAACAAGUCUUUCUAUAGCUGUCUGAUCAGAGAAGUGACCAGGUGUAAAAAGACCCUAUAAUGACAGCUGGAAAGUAAAAAAAAUCAUUGUUAAAUAAAGUGAAAUAAAUAAAUAGUAAAUAGGACAUUCUGAUUGUAACUCGUUCAAUGGUGAGAAAAUUGGCAAAUUAAUUAGGAAAAUGCUUCGGCUGAGUUUUUCAUUAUCUUAAGCUUUGGCCAAGAUUUUUUCUUUCGGUGCUUUCGUAGAGUUUAGUUUGAUUUAACUGAGAUAAAAAGUGGCUCUGCUGUUUACACAAAAAGGCAGAAAAAGAGCAAACAUGACUAGAUUUGAACAGACAUUUCUCACUCAUAUUUAGUGUUUUUUGUUUUAUCAGUGAUUAUUGACUAAACUCUGUUAUGAUGAACAUGUUAAAUAUAAGAUAUUAGAAUGUUUUAUACAUUAAAGGCGGAGUGCAAAAUGUUUGAAAAACGCUUUGAAAAAGGGAGUCAGCCGACUACCAAAACACACUUGUAGCUUAUCAGCAGUAAGGGGCGUGUCUACUAACCGACAUCCUUGCCAGGGUUGCAUAUGUGUGGGGCAGAUCUAUCAAAAGAAGGUCCAGAUUUUAUUAGGGUAGGGGCAUGUUUGUUUAGGUGAUUUCAAAUGUCAACAUUGGCUUUCAAACAUUGUGCACUCCGCCUUUAAAGGAUCUGUGUUUAUUAAGAUGCUAUUGAUUGCUAAUUGUCUUUGUGACAUUGGAGUUUGGAUCAAUUAAAACGUUGAAGGUAUCUUGACAGUCACUCAAAACGUAUACUUACGAAGGCAAAGACCCUCAGGGAAUAGCUCUUUAAAGAGCCUUUGGGACUUUUUUAGCUGCUUUUGACACAAAAAGGAAGAAAAAGAGAAAACAUGACUAGAUUUGAACAGACAUAUCUCACUCAUAUUCAGUAUUUUCUGUUUUAUCAGUGAUUAUUGACUAAACUCUGUUAAGAUGAAAAUUUCAAAUAUUAGAUGUAGGAUGCUAGAAUGUUUUAUACAUUAAAGAACUGUAUUAAGAUGCUGUUUAUUGCUAAUUGGCUUUUUGACAUUGUUUCAAUUGAUUCAGACUCAAAACAGUCAGUCAAAAGGUAUACUUACGAAGACAAAGAAACUCAGGGGAUAGCUCUUAAAAGACACUCACUGGAGCUGUAAAUGGGAAGCAGAAAUACUCUUUAACCUGCCCACUGGAGCUGGGAAUGCAAUUUGGGACAUUCUUCCAUUUGUCGGCAACUUUGUGAAAAAGGCUAGAAACUAAAAUGCAGAAUUCUGGCCUGGUGUUUGGUCUGUGCUGUCUUUGGCUCUUGCAUCUCCAUCAUCCUGACCCUCUUUAGCAGCCUGUCCAUGUAUUUAUUUGGAGGCCACCUUGAGCACCCAUCUGCAUAAUAUGACUUUGUUA